This 402-nucleotide ribosomal RNA is filed under the name uncultured prokaryote. RNAcentral describes it as "bacterial SSU rRNA". It matches the Rfam family "Bacterial small subunit ribosomal RNA", at positions 355 to 774 of the family's 1533-position model. The record is from RNAcentral.
UAGGGAAUAUUAGAAAUGGACGAAAGUCUGAUCUAGCAACACCGCGUGUGCGAAGAAGGCCUUCGGGUUGUAAAGCACUUUUUGGAAGGAUUAGGAAGGAAUGUACUUCCAGAAUAAGUCUCGGCUAACUACGUGCCAGCAGCCGCGGUAACACGUAGGAGGCAAACGUUAUCCGGAUUUACUGGGCGUAAAGCGCGUGUAGGUGGUUCUGUAAGUAGGGCGUGAAAGCUCCUGGCUCAACUGGGAGAGGCCGUUCUAAACUACAGAACUAGAGGAUGGUAGAGGGAGGUGGAAUUCCAGGUGUAGCGGUGGAAUGCGCAGAUAUCAGGAGGAACACCGGUGGCGAAGGCGGCCACCUGGACAGGUAUUGACGCUGAGGUGCGAAAGUGUGGGGAGCAAACA